AUGGUCUCCAUAGAUUGUAGGAAUAGUGCUGCACUGCACUGCAUCAAGGUUCAUAGCAGAGCUGUAUGCCUCCUGGACAGACUGAUGGUGCAGCAUGUGAAGAUCCACACAGUGGCAGUCACCUCUGUCUAUCCACACGGGCAGCCCCCACCUGUUAAACAAGAGCAGCUCCUUGUGGCAGAAGAAGCAUUUGAGCUCAGCCGAUUAAGUGGGAUAGCAUUUCACUUGCCAGAACUUCAGUUUAGAAACAAGACUGCCGCCAGUGGAAGUCUAAGUGGCUCAGCUAUGCUCUGGGUUGUUUUUAGGACAGAGUUCUAAAGCUUUUGAGUGAUUGUUGCUACAGUAUUUUUGAACACUCCACUCCUGGCUGUUUUGUUAAAUUGUCUUUUUCUCAGCCCCCAAGAGAUCCCAGUCCCCUCAUCAGCCUUUGCACUCAUGGAAUCACAGUGAAGGUUGAAGGGACUUCUGGAGAUCAUCCAGUCAAACCCCCAAGAAGCAGGCAAGAAGGCUUUAAACACCACUAUGUACCUAGAUAAGACUCAGACAGAGAGCUAAAAAGCUCUUCGUUACCUGGAAAGGAGGGGACUGUAAUGUCCCCACUGGAAAACAAAGGAGACUGUGUUCCUGGAAACAAGCUGCAGCUGCUUACAGCAGGUCUGUGGUGUUACACACCCCGCCUGCUUACUCUACAUGUCAAAAGCGUAACUCCCUUAAUGCAGCACUGGUAUAGCUCUCUGUUUUGGUUUUGCUCUCGUUUGUGGAUGGCUUUUUGUUGUUGUUGUUUGUUUUUUUGGGUGUUUUGUUUUGGUUUUGGUUGUUUGUUUGUUUUUGUAUUUUUAAAUAAAAGGCUUCAAGAAAAGCA
This 862-nucleotide long non-coding RNA is filed under the name Phasianus colchicus (ring-necked pheasant). RNAcentral's name for it is "lncRNA (ENSPCLG00000014380.1)". The record is from RNAcentral. Lineage: Eukaryota; Metazoa; Chordata; Aves; Galliformes; Phasianidae.